This 79-nucleotide transfer RNA is filed under the name Halobacteriales archaeon QS_8_69_26. RNAcentral describes it as "tRNA-Glu". The record is from RNAcentral. Lineage: Archaea; Methanobacteriati; Methanobacteriota; Halobacteria; Halobacteriales.
GCUCCCGUGGGGUAGCAGGACACCGCCAUCCCGCGGCCCGUUCGAGGCCGAGAGGCGCGUUCGAAUCGCGCCGGGAGCA